CUUCCCAGAGGCAGCGCAAACAGACAGUAGAAUCAGGCUGAUAAAAAUGCUGAAUAAGCAAACGGACGCCUUUGGUCGGAAUAUGAGGGACUCGAAGGGGGAAAGGGCUAAAAAGACCUGUUUGCGAUAGAAAGACGUCUCAGAAUUAAAGUUAAAACUAGGCAGAAAGUGGGCGCCACCGACAAUGGGGUGUGGGAGUGCUACAACCAUUCCUGUCACACAGGCCUCCAGGGGCUGUCAGAGGAACGCUGUUUCGGGCCGAUCUUACCUCACUCCACCCUCCUUCAGAUGACAAGAGCACAGCGCAGGAUUCAGACUGAUUCUCCCACAGUCCUGAAGGAAGUGUGUGGUUCCGUCUACACACAGGGAAGAUGACUGGGUCAGUAAGUGACAAGAACCCAAGAAAAACUAAUCAUCAGCUGUGCAAUUUCCAGAUCCUCACGCUUCUCUUGUGGGGGCACACUCUAAACUCAAAUUACAGGCUAGUGCGGAAGAAUGAGCAUGCUGAGCAUUUUCAUCAAGAAUUCCAGCCUCUCCCCCAAAAGACACCGUGAGCAGCGACCUCUGCGCGAAUUCUGCUGGACUGCUUACAGCGAGUGCUUCUCAGACCCUGCCGGCUGCGAUGUCGCUCCUUCCUCUGACUCCUAUCUCCCACGGUUUCAGAGGUCCGCUGCUAGCUCUCCAUUUCCACCUGCUGAACUUGGCCUUUGCGGUGCAUCCCCCGCUGAGCUUCCCUAGGAU
Manis javanica (Malayan pangolin) is the source of this 741-nucleotide long non-coding RNA. RefSeq lists it as uncharacterized. Lineage: Eukaryota; Metazoa; Chordata; Mammalia; Pholidota; Manidae. The record is from RefSeq and is a predicted model, not a curated record.